UUAAGUUCCCAGGUCUGUGGUACCUGAUUAUGGCAGCCCUAGCAGACUAAUGCAAAUAAUAACAGCAAUAGAGUCAUAACCUUCCUGAAAACGUGCUAUGUGUCAGAGACUUUUCUGAGUGCUUUAUGUUGAUUAACUCACCAACUCCUCUUAUCAAGCUGGAAUCAGGUCCUACUAAUAACUUCACUUUACGGAUAAAGAAACUGAGGCACGCAGAGAGAACGUAACUUGCCCAGAGUUGCAGAGCUGGCAAGGGAUGGAGCAGAGGAGAUUCGAACCCAGGCAGACAAGCUCUAGAGCCGGCUUUCCUAACCACUGUACUUCGUUAAAAAGGGAGCACGGAAUUCUAUGAUUCUAGAAUAACCUUGGAAACCCAAGGACCCCUGGCUCCGGAAUCCUCACGUUCAAGGACUCCCAGUACCCCAGAGGGGCCAGCCUCCAUCAUGGCUGGCAUUUGGGGAGCAGCAGAAGCUAUGGGAAGAAGACAGUCGAGAGGCCCAUACUCCAGCCCCAGCUCUGCCCUUUCUAGGGGCCUUACCUCCUUGCACUCAGUUUUCUCACCUGGAAAAUGGACAUAAGUACCAUUCCUGCCUAGAAUUCCUGGGGAGGGGGAUCACAGUAAAAUACCCUUUGCAAUAACAGGUGCUCGAUACAUGGGGGCUAUUAUCUCUAGUUCGUAUGGAAGACCUCCAGGGUCCCCAAAUCUGCUUUUUCUAGUUCCGAGCAAGGACCUUUGGGGUUGCAAUCCAGCAAAGGAUUUUGUGGCUCUUUUGCAGCCACUGCUGGAGGAGCAGAGAGCCCAGAAUUGGGUGCCGUUUGGCGCGAACGCCGUGUCCCCAAGUUCUGCAAGCCAUCUUUCUUCCGGGGCUCAUCCUCUUCUCACAUGGAAUCACUACAUGGAAACUGAGUCUACACCACAGAUACAGGCGGCUCCGCAGAGCCCCAGGGACUCCAGAGACAGACAUCCCGUGCUUACUGAAAGCAAGGGCUGAGCUCCAUUCACCCUCUGGACCCCACAACUCGGGGCACACAGGACCUGUGCUUUCAACCCUGGCCACACAUAAUAACCACUUGGGGAGGAGCCUUUGAACAAUACAGGUGCCUGACCCCACUAGAGACCCACUGCAUCACUGAAGACCCACUGAAUUGUGGGUGGGCCCAGCAUCUCAAGCUCCUCAGAGGCCCCUGCUGAUUCUAGCAUGCAGUCGGUGCUGCAAGUCUAAAGCUUUAGCCUGGGCCCUGCUCCAUGACGUCAAAGACCACGACUGCAACUCUCCCACCCAGGACAACGCACCUGGCACAAAGAACACGCCCCAUAAACAAUGUUUGAAGGAACGAAUGAGCGCGCACACUGAAGGCUCUAAGAAAAAAAAACUGCAACUGAAAAAUAUUAACUUUGUUUAAACCUGCUGUUUCCCAAACUUAAAAAUUGACCAUGGAAUUUGUUUUCUCCAUGGAAAACCCAUUUACACCCUAGGGACACCUGGGAAGCACCGCACGGGGACAUGCUGGGCUGGAGAGGUCUCAGGGUUGGUGUCUCUGGCUUCACAAACUGGACCUGGAGGUGUGUUAUAAACCUGGUGCAAGGGACUGAAUUGAAGAUGGCUACAUCCUUUCUCUCCCCACUGUGCCCCCUCCCCGCUGGCUCCCAAUGCCCAGGAAAUGUGUGGUCCUCCUCCCUUGGGCUCUGGAUAACAAUAGUGAUAAUAUUAAUAAUGACAACAACAACAGACACCAUGGCUAUGAACCUCAAGGGGCCUUUGAGCUUUUUCUGCACUUCAAGAAGCUCAGCUCAGAAAGCAAGAGUCCUGGCAGCUGCCCACGUUGGCCCAGGAGGAGGCCACUUUCUCUCUGCUGCUGCCCACGGGGCCCUAGAGAACCCUCCUCUACCCAUGGAGGGUUCCAGCACUCUGAGUUCACUGGGCCCAGGGGGGCCUCCAGUAGAACCAGUGAAGGCUCAACCCACCAAGGGGCUUUUUAUAGCUGGCCUCCCUUCCCUGGGCCUCUCCCCUGCAUCCAGCCGAGAUUUCAGCCUAAAUGGGAAAGGCUAUUCCUUAGAGGGACAGAGGCUGAGCUUCAAACUUAACUACUUAAGGGCUAGAGCAGGUGUCCUCAAACUACGGCCCGAGGGCCACAUGCCACCCGCCUAGGACAUUUAUCUGGCCCGCCGGGUG
This is a non-coding RNA of Microcebus murinus (gray mouse lemur), 2174 nucleotides long. The record is from RefSeq and is a predicted model, not a curated record. NCBI's taxonomy places the organism in Eukaryota, Metazoa, Chordata, Mammalia, Primates, Cheirogaleidae.